AGAAUGUUUCUGCAUGAUUCAGACAGCCGUAUGAGUGGCAGAAUAUUACUAUAAUAAUUAUUUGCCACUCAUACGGAUGCUAGAAUCUUGUAAGUACCAAUUCA
RNAcentral lists this microRNA precursor (104 nucleotides) under Tetranychus urticae (two-spotted spider mite). RNAcentral describes it as "microRNA tur-mir-5728 precursor (tur-mir-5728-1)". The stretch from base 10 to 93 matches the Rfam family "mir-5728 microRNA precursor family". Lineage: Eukaryota; Metazoa; Arthropoda; Arachnida; Trombidiformes; Tetranychidae. The record is from miRBase by way of RNAcentral.